Non-coding RNA from Aegilops tauschii subsp. strangulata, 762 nucleotides. Lineage: Eukaryota; Viridiplantae; Streptophyta; Magnoliopsida; Poales; Poaceae. The record is from RefSeq and is a predicted model, not a curated record.
AAUAAGCUAGGUAAGGGGCAGCUUAUUGCAGUUUAUUCUAGAAGCCACCAAAAGAACAGGCCCGAAGGCAGGGGAGGGACGAGAGGAGGUCUAGCACGGGAGCCCGCUGGUCCAAGGUUGCUGCGGCCGGAGUCGCUGGCGUCGAGAUGCCCGCCGGCGAGGGCAAGGAUCCAGGGUCGUCACGCGCAGAGGAGCAGGAUGUUAAAGGAGAUGAUGAAGAGAAUAAGGGAGGCAUUGAUCAACCCGAGGGCCCAACAGUUGAUAAAGAGAAGAAUGACACACAACUGCAAGUCAGAUCUUGAAGAUUGACGAAGAUACAGUGGAUGCCGAAAGCGAACAGUACCACGGGAAUGAUGACCUAACUGAAACCGAUGUGUCCAACGACCUACUUUGUGCUGGAGUAAAUUUUUUGAUUGUGAAGAGCUUUAAAAGGAAGCAAAGACGGACCAUUGUACGAAAGGGGAGCAUAAAGAGACCAAGACUAACUGAAGCGACUUCACAUGAUGAUUUUGGCGAUGCAGUAUGUAAAGCAUAUAGUAGGUGCAGCAUACCAUAUUUCUCCGAGGUCGUGAAUAGCAUUUGCAAGAGCAAGAACAAAGUGGACUUAGUCAGGUCUACUGGUUUUGGUUACAUGCUGGAGUUAGAUGAUUGUCUUGUGCCUAGGCCGUUUGCUCAGUGGAUAGCAGACAAGGUCAUUGUUGACGAUGAAGCAAUUUUCAUCAACAAGAAGCGCAUACCACUGAAUGCACUGGGUGUUCUGCA